This is a long non-coding RNA of Stegastes partitus (bicolor damselfish), 359 nucleotides long. RefSeq lists it as uncharacterized. The record is from RefSeq and is a predicted model, not a curated record. The transcript has 3 exons. Lineage: Eukaryota; Metazoa; Chordata; Actinopteri; Pomacentridae.
CACUCGGCUGAUGGAUGGUGAGCAGUGAGCUUUGACAGAGCAGGAGUGUGCAACAGCAAUGAGGUGACGCAGACAAACGGUCGUGGAACUGCACAAGUCAUGCCUUUUUUGGAAUUCAUAGCUGGAUGCAUUUCAGGUGCAGUUGGAAUUGCAGUUGGACAUCCGUUAGACACCGUGAAGGUUGCAACACACAGAAAGCCAUAAACAUAACAAAAUGCCUGAGUCUUGCUUUUUCUUUACAUUAACCUUAAACAUGUCAGUCAGUCAGGGCUGAGCAGUGGGGCAGUGGUUGGUUCUGUUGCCUCACAGCUACAAGGGUUCCUGUCCUUACCUGGGGUCUUUCUGUUGGAGUUUGCAUG